UUUUUUUUGCUUUAGAAAAAUUUUCCUCAAAAUAGGUAAAUUUUUUGAAUGACGUCAUUGUUUGGUAUGUGACGUCACGAACGUCGAGUUUUCAUAUUGUAUGUGACGUCACGAAUGUCAAGUUUUCAUAUUUUUUGGCACACUAUGUGCAACUAUGAAAAAUACAAAACACACAAAUUAAUACAAUAAUAUAAAACAAAAUAUUUUUAAAACAACAGCACGCAAAUUGUAAGGUAACCCAGGUGCUUCAGAUAAGUAAUUGAGCAGUUCUUUUAAGGCCUUUGUAACAAGACAAAAGUAGAACUGAAGGUAACCCAGUGCUAUGAAUCAGGAAACAGUUCAUAUAAUAUAAUACUCUUCUGUUGAAAUAUAUGAUAAAGUGUAUAAUACAUGGCAAAAUCCGUAUCACAUGCCGAAUCACCCUCGACCAAUAUCAUCCCUCGGGCCUAAAGGCCCUUGGGCUGAUAUUGAUGUCUCGGGAUGAUACGACAUAUGAUACGGAUUUUGCCAUGUAUUAUUCUCUAUUUAUCAUAUGUUUAGUAGUAAAUACAGUAGUUUUGCAUAUGUGAUAAAUAGCCUGCUGUUUAAUCCAUAUCGCGCAACUUUGAUGCGCACCCUUUAUCGCAUACCCUUUAUCACACCCCUACCCUUUAUUACACCCCUACUUUUUUUUUUUUUUUUUUUUUUUUACAUAAAGUCAGUGUUGGUUUUUUUUUUGCUUAAAAUUUUUUUUUCCUCAAAAUAGGUAAAUUUUUUGAAUGACGUCAUUGUUUGGUAUGUGACGUCACGAACGUCGAGUUUUCAUAUUGUAUGUGACGUCACGAACGUCAAGUUUCAUAUUUUUUGGCACACUAAAUGCAACUAUGAAAAAUACAAAACACACAAAUUAAUACAAUAAUAAACAAAAUAUUUUUAAAACAACAGCACGCAAAUUGUAAGGUAACCCAGGUGCUUCGGAUAAUAAUUGAGCAGUUCUUUUACGGCCUUUGAAACAAGACAAAAGUAGAACUGAAGGUAACCCAGUGCUAUGGAUCAGAAAACAGUUCAUAUAAUAUAAUACUCUUCUGUUGAAAUAUAUGAUAAAGUGUAUAAUACAUGGCAAAAUCCGUAUCACAUGCCGUAUCACCCUCGACCAAUAUCAUCCCUCGGGCCUAAAGGCCCUUGGGCUGAUAUUGAUGUCUCGGGAUGAUACGACAUAUGAUACGGAUUUUGCCAUGUAUUAUUCUCUAUGUAUAUGACCUUUAUUUCUGUAUUCUUUAAUAUUAAGUCCAUUUUUCUCUAUCUUUAAUAUACUUUGUGCCCAUUAUUCUCUUUAUAUUUUUAUGUUUAUAUUAAGCACCUCACUUUUUUUUACUAUUUUUUAUGUCCAUUUUACUCUUUAUUUUUUUACCCAUUGUUUUUCUCUAUUCUGUAACGCCCCUCAUAUAUAAGGCCUUACCAUUGUAUCAACAGAGGUUCUGUCAUAUUGUAAAUUAAG
This 1477-nucleotide long non-coding RNA is filed under the name Mytilus galloprovincialis (Mediterranean mussel). Lineage: Eukaryota; Metazoa; Mollusca; Bivalvia; Mytilida; Mytilidae. The record is from RNAcentral.